Molecule: ribosomal RNA, 2758 nt
Filed under: Klebsiella pneumoniae
Lineage: Bacteria; Pseudomonadati; Pseudomonadota; Gammaproteobacteria; Enterobacterales; Enterobacteriaceae
Also listed under: 1 other name
Description: partial 23S ribosomal RNA
Rfam family: Bacterial large subunit ribosomal RNA
Source: RNAcentral
CACUAUCGUUAACUGAAUACAUAGGUUAACGAGGCGAACCGGGGGAACUGAAACAUCUAAGUACCCCGAGGAAAAGAAAUCAACCGAGAUUCCCCCAGUAGCGGCGAGCGAACGGGGAGCAGCCCAGAGUCUGAAUCAGCUUGUGUGUUAGUGGAACGGUCUGGAAAGUCCGACGGUACAGGGUGAUAGUCCCGUACACCAAAAUGCACAGGCUGUGAACUCGAAGAGUAGGGCGGGACACGUGGUAUCCUGUCUGAAUAUGGGGGGACCAUCCUCCAAGGCUAAAUACUCCUGACUGACCGAUAGUGAACCAGUACCGUGAGGGAAAGGCGAAAAGAACCCCGGCGAGGGGAGUGAAAAAGAACCUGAAACCGUGUACGUACAAGCAGUGGGAGCACCUUCGGGUGUGACUGCGUACCUUUUGUAUAAUGGGUCAGCGACUUAUAUUCUGUAGCAAGGUUAACCGUAUAGGGGAGCCGCAGGGAAACCGAGUCUUAACUGGGCGUUAAGUUGCAGGGUAUAGACCCGAAACCCGGUGAUCUAGCCAUGGGCAGGUUGAAGGUUGGGUAACACUAACUGGAGGACCGAACCGACUAAUGUUGAAAAAUUAGCGGAUGACUUGUGGCUGGGGGUGAAAGGCCAAUCAAACCGGGAGAUAGCUGGUUCUCCCCGAAAGCUAUUUAGGUAGCGCCUCGUGAACUCAUCUUCGGGGGUAGAGCACUGUUUCGGCUAGGGGGUCAUCCCGACUUACCAACCCGAUGCAAACUACGAAUACCGAAGAAUGUUAUCACGGGAGACACACGGCGGGUGCUAACGUCCGUCGUGAAGAGGGAAACAACCCAGACCGCCAGCUAAGGUCCCAAAGUCAUGGUUAAGUGGGAAACGAUGUGGGAAGGCACAGACAGCCAGGAUGUUGGCUUAGAAGCAGCCAUCAUUUAAAGAAAGCGUAAUAGCUCACUGGUCGAGUCGGCCUGCGCGGAAGAUGUAACGGGGCUAAACCAUGCACCGAAGCUGCGGCAGCGACACUAUGUGUUGUUGGGUAGGGGAGCGUUCUGUAAGCCUGCGAAGGUGACCUGUGAGGGUUGCUGGAGGUAUCAGAAGUGCGAAUGCUGACAUAAGUAACGAUAAAGCGGGUGAAAAGCCCGCUCGCCGGAAGACCAAGGGUUCCUGUCCAACGUUAAUCGGGGCAGGGUGAGUCGACCCCUAAGGCGAGGCCGAAAGGCGUAGUCGAUGGGAAACAGGUUAAUAUUCCUGUACUUGGUGUUACUGCGAAGGGGGGACGGAGAAGGCUAUGUUAGCCGGGCGACGGUUGUCCCGGUUUAAGCAUGUAGGCUGAUUGUCCAGGCAAAUCCGGAUAAUCAAGGCUGAGGUGUGAUGACGAGGCACUACGGUGCUGAAGUAACAAAUGCCCUGCUUCCAGGAAAAGCCUCUAAGCAUCAGGUAACAUUAAAUCGUACCCCAAACCGACACAGGUGGUCAGGUAGAGAAUACCAAGGCGCUUGAGAGAACUCGGGUGAAGGAACUAGGCAAAAUGGUGCCGUAACUUCGGGAGAAGGCACGCUGGUGUGUAGGUGAAGCCCCUGCGGGUGGAGCUGAGACCAGUCGAAGAUACCAGCUGGCUGCAACUGUUUAUUAAAAACACAGCACUGUGCAAACACGAAAGUGGACGUAUACGGUGUGACGCCUGCCCGGUGCCGGAAGGUUAAUUGAUGGGGUUAUCCGUAAGGAGAAGCUCUUGAUCGAAGCCCCGGUAAACGGCGGCCGUAACUAUAACGGUCCUAAGGUAGCGAAAUUCCUUGUCGGGUAAGUUCCGACCUGCACGAAUGGCGUAAUGAUGGCCAGGCUGUCUCCACCCGAGACUCAGUGAAAUUGAACUCGCUGUGAAGAUGCAGUGUACCCGCGGCAAGACGGAAAGACCCCGUGAACCUUUACUAUAGCUUGACACUGAACAUUGAGCCUUGAUGUGUAGGAUAGGUGGGAGGCUUUGAAGCGUGGACGCCAGUCUGCGUGGAGCCAACCUUGAAAUACCACCCUUUAAUGUUUGAUGUUCUAACGUUGGCCCCUGACCGGGGUUGCGGACAGUGUCUGGUGGGUAGUUUGACUGGGGCGGUCUCCUCCCAAAGCGUAACGGAGGAGCACGAAGGUUAGCUAAUCCUGGUCGGACAUCAGGAGGUUAGUGCAAUGGCAUAAGCUAGCUUGACUGCGAGCGUGACGGCGCGAGCAGGUGCGAAAGCAGGUCAUAGUGAUCCGGUGGUUCUGAAUGGAAGGGCCAUCGCUCAACGGAUAAAAGGUACUCCGGGGAUAACAGGCUGAUACCGCCCAAGAGUUCAUAUCGACGGCGGUGUUUGGCACCUCGAUGUCGGCUCAUCACAUCCUGGGGCUGAAGUAGGUCCCAAGGGUAUGGCUGUUCGCCAUUUAAAGUGGUACGCGAGCUGGGUUUAGAACGUCGUGAGACAGUUCGGUCCCUAUCUGCCGUGGGCGCUGGAGAAUUGAGGGGGGCUGCUCCUAGUACGAGAGGACCGGAGUGGACGCAUCACUGGUGUUCGGGUUGUCAUGCCAAUGGCACUGCCCGGUAGCUAAAUGCGGAAGAGAUAAGUGCUGAAAGCAUCUAAGCACGAAACUUGCCCCGAGAUGAGUUCUCCCUGAGACUUUAAGUCUCCUGAAGGAACGUUAAAGACGAUGACGUUGAUAGGCCGGGUGUGUAAGCGCAGCGAUGCGUUGAGCUAACCGGUACUAAUGAACCGUGAGGCUUAACCUU